This 1409-nucleotide long non-coding RNA is filed under the name Cucumis sativus (cucumber). RNAcentral's name for it is "long non-coding RNA (CSAT_LNC003008)". The record is from RNAcentral. Lineage: Eukaryota; Viridiplantae; Streptophyta; Magnoliopsida; Cucurbitales; Cucurbitaceae.
UUGGACUAAGUUAGUGGGAAAAUCCAACAUUUUGUUGGAUAAUCCCACUAACUCUUAGUGGGAUAUGUGGCUAUAUGAGAUAUAGACACCUAGCCCACUAAGUUCCACUAAUUGUUAGUGGAAUAUUAGGUGUUGAGAUUUGGCAAUUGAAUUGCAUGCAUUUUUGCAUGUAAUUAGGCUAUAAAUAGAGAUGUUUUCAAAUGUUGAAGGACUUUUGCCUCUUUUAUCAUUUUCAUAAUCUCAACAAAAGAAAAAAGAAAGCUUCCAAUCUCAUUUUAUCUCCAUUACUUUCUACACCAAAAUUGGGUCCCACAACCCGGUUCUUUGUCUAGAGGAUAGCAGUUGAGUACUAGUGGUGGUCUCGGGUAGAAUUGGUAAGAAGACAUCAAACCUUUUGAAAGCUUCAAAGGUAAUACUUCUUAAAACCCUAAUUUGAUUAGUUUAUGGUUACAUGUUAAUUGUGGCAAUUAGGGUAGAAAUUCGAUUCUUUUUCCGCUGUGCAUGACUUAGUUCUAUCAUGUGGUAUCAGAGCAUGCUUCAUUUUUACCCAAUUGCAUGUGGUGGGUUCAUAUUUAUUAGAUAAAUUUUGGUUUGAACUAAAAUGGAUAUAUUAUGAUUUUGGCUCUAGAUUAAGUGUUUUUGUUCUAAUUAUUGUAAUUAGCCUUGUUAAUGGCUUAUUUUUAUUGUUGCAAAGUGUUUGUAAUUUUUUAAAAAAUAAAAAAAGUCAUUAGAGUUGAAGCUAGGCUGUAAUUGGUUCAACCGGGUGAGAGAAUUGAAAAAAAUGAAGAAAAGAAGGUCACAGACCCGAAAACCCGGUUUUGACCCGCUUCGCGACCCGCACGCGCCCGCAUGCCCGCGCGCCCUCCUGCGCCGCGCGCCCUCCUGCGUCCCACGCGCCCCGCGCGCCGCGCGCCUCCUGCGCGCGCGCCUCCUGCGCCCGCGCGCCUCUGCGCCGCGCGCCGCAUGCGCCCGCGCGCCGCAUGUGUCCGCGCCCGCAUGCGCCCGCGCGCCCGCCUUCGCCCGCGCGCCUGCCUUCGCACGACCCGUGUGCGCCUGGGCCGGUUCAAGCCAAUAAAUUUGGUUUUUGGGCCGGUUCAAGCGGUUCGGUUGGUUUUUUAGCCGGUUCGAAAUUUUUGGGAGUGGUUCUGUACUACACCAAAUUAAUUAUGUAAUAAUUUAGCACUUAGCUUAAUUUAGGAGCCAAAAAUCAGUCCAUUUUAGGGUGUUUUUUUUUAUUUAUGCAUGUGAUGUAUGAUUAAAUUACUUUAAAUUUGUAUGUGCAUUUUGAAUGUCAUAUAGAUUUAAAAUCCCACCAUAGGUUAACAUGUUCAUGCAUUAAAAUGUAUGAUAUAAAGGUUAUAUUGUAUUGUAUGCAUGUUAAUUGAUUAAUAUGGAAAUUAAUUAAUAUG